Molecule: non-coding RNA, 1635 nt
Organism: Delphinapterus leucas (beluga whale)
Lineage: Eukaryota; Metazoa; Chordata; Mammalia; Artiodactyla; Monodontidae
Source: RefSeq, a predicted model, not a curated record
UAAUGCCGUGCUCCACAUGUCAGUACGUGUCGGCCAAGAUAAACAGGAUGUUUAUAUGGGGCAGAACUGCAGCGACAAUGAAGAGUUUUUCAAGGCUGGAUGCUGUUCCUCAUUUUGCUCCUGCUCGUGAGAUCACCCUGUAAUUUCACCUUGGAAUUUAAGAUGGACCCUCAGCUAAACACUUGAGGGGGAAUUCGGGAGCAUCCAGAUAGAAUCAAAUUUUAGUAGACAAUUAUUUAAAGGUGAACUGAAAUAAUCUAUCAAAUAAUAGCCACACUUCUCCUGGCUACAAAAACUCAUUGCUUCUGUUGCACCAUGGCCAUAAAGUUCUAAUAUAUGUGUCAAGAGAUGGAAGUAAAAAAAUUCAGGUGUGAAAUCAUAUGUGUUUGAAAGUUUCUUUAAACCUAUCCACAGAAAUUAAACCAAAACUGAUGUUUUACUAUUAAUUGUUGUUCAAUUGUUGUUAAUGUAUGUGCUCUUUUCAUAUAUAUUUAUUUGAAAUAUAUUAAAAAUUUAAAUUUCUGAUUCUUUAUGAUAAAAUAGCACAUUUCCUUGAUUUAAAGACUCUCAAAUGUUUCUAAAACUGGGAUGCAGCUUCCAACCUACAUGGACGUGUAAUCUAAAAGUUGUCUUGAAAUUGAUGAUGUGUUGUUCAGUUGAUGGACUCUUAUAAUGGAGGAGAUGAAUAAGAUGAAUAAGAUUCUGUUUGGUCUUCCAAAAACAUUUCUCAGAGAUGAGUAAUUUGAAUUGAUAUUCUACAGCUUCUAAGUUCUCUAUACACUUUCCUCUUUUUAGCCUUCCAUCUGAACUAAUUUGUUCACGGAAUAAUUAGUUAGGGCUUUCUGAGAAUGGGAAAGAAUAAGAUAUAUUUGGUUUUCUAAGCCUGAAAGAAAUAUCCAUGCACUAUCAGUGAAUCAAUGGCAGUUGUCCCUUUGCCACUGGUUUACACAUCAGCUUUAGGAAAACACCUUCAUACCUGGUAAUGUUACCAUAUGGAUUUGGACUAAAGCAUUCAAACAAAAGUGUCCAAGCAAUAUGAAAACCCUUUUCGCACCUGGCUGCACUUUUUCCCCACACGUUGAUCUAUUUGCAUUAGAACUGGCCAAAGGGUUUGUCUCAUUAAACUGUAUUCAACUGAAAGUAUUUUACCAGUGAUGAAAAAUAAAAUGUCAUGUCAAAGUUACUUAAAAGGUGAUGGGGGGGAAUGAAAGUCAUUUCAUGAAACAAUGUGAAAAAUGAAAAAGCUCUCUUUGAUCAUAGUUCAUAAUUGAAGGUUAUUUCCAUUUCCAAGGUAGUUAUUUUGGCAAUUAAAUCUACUCAAAAGUUUUAUCUCUAAAAAAAUUAAUUGUAUGUUGAAAAAGUGAAUUGGGAUAAUGUACUCUGUAAAGGUUAAAAGAGGUUAUUCCAAAUGUUAUUAUUUCAGUAACAUUAGAUUUAUUAUCAUAUGCAGAAACUUUUAAGAUAUUAUAAAAGUAUAAUAUGCUAAAAAUGUUUUCUAUAUAGAAAAAAAUAUUCUUUCAUUUUAUUAGUAAGAAUUGUUCUGAGUGCAUAUAUGUAUUACACCAAACUGCUAAUUUAAACUGAUUUUUGUAAGAGUGAUACCAGUCUAUGCUGCUAUGUAACAUGUUGUUUAUA